Mandrillus leucophaeus (drill) is the source of this 661-nucleotide non-coding RNA. Lineage: Eukaryota; Metazoa; Chordata; Mammalia; Primates; Cercopithecidae. The record is from the annotation of a RefSeq genome assembly.
UAAAAGCUCAGCUCUAAGCUUGUCUUGACUGCUCAGGACUCCACAGUUCACCAUGAGGCUCCCUGCUCAGCUCCUGGGGCUGCUAAUGCUCUGCGUCCCCGGAUCCAGUGGGGAUGUUGUGAUGACUCAGUCUCCACUCUCCCUGCCCGUCACCCCUGGGCAGCCGGCCUCCAUCUCCUGCAGGUCUAGUCAAAGCCUUGUACACAGUAAUGGAAACACCUACUUGAAUUGGUUUCAGCAGAAGCCAGGCCAACCUCCAAGGCUCCUAAUAUAUAAGGAGAGCUCCUCUGCCUGUGCCAAGUCAGAGCUUGUGUCCAUAGGCAAACUUGGCGACUGUGGCAGGAGGACAAAAAGUCAGGCACCAGUUUGGAGUUUGGAGAUGCUGCACGUUCUCCUGUGAGCAGAACACUCACCAGGACCCUGCACAGCCUGAGGGCCUCAAACACAGCCUCCCUAGUAGGCUCAGCCUCUCAUUGCAGCACCAGUAACUGCAGCACCCAGAGAUGGAGCCCACAGCAGUUGGGCUGGAGAAGAUGGUGAAGACGGCUGGAGAGCCUUUGAAGAGGAGGCCAUGAGUCCUCACUUACAGGCAUGGGCUUCACUUCUGUGCGAACAGGGCCAGGGCCCCCAGGAAGCCUCCCAGAGCCUCUCCCUUCCUCCC